This 200-nucleotide ribosomal RNA is filed under the name uncultured bacterium. RNAcentral's name for it is "partial 16S ribosomal RNA". It matches the Rfam family "Bacterial small subunit ribosomal RNA", at positions 1294 to 1500 of the family's 1533-position model. The record is from RNAcentral.
CGGAUUGGAGUCUGCAACUCGACUCCAUGAAGCUGGAUUCGCUAGUAAUCGCGCAUCAGCCAUGGCGCGGUGAAUACGUUCCCGGGCCUUGUACACACCGCCCGUCAAGCCCAUGGAAGCCGGGAGUGCCUGAAGUGUGCAACCGCAAGGAGCGCCCUAAGGUAAAACUGGUGACUGGGGCUAAGUCGUAACAAGGUACC